Molecule: ribosomal RNA, 342 nt
Filed under: Trioza adventicia
Lineage: Eukaryota; Metazoa; Arthropoda; Insecta; Hemiptera; Triozidae
Description: partial 12S ribosomal RNA
Source: RNAcentral
UUUAAUUUAAAUUAUUUCUUGAGUAGUAAAAGUUAUUAUCUUCAAACUCAACAGAUUUGGCGGUAUUUUAUCUUAUUAGAGGAACUUGUUUAUUAAUUGAUAUUCCACAACUAUUAUUUACUUUUUAUUAUAUUACUUGUAUGCCGCCGUCAUGAAUAUAUUAAAAAAUUUAUUUUCUAUAAUUUUUAUUAAAUUAAUGUUAGGUCAAGGUGCAGUUUUAAAAAGAAUUUAUGAGUUACAAUAAAAAUUAUGAAUGGAAAAUAUGAAGUUAUAUUAUUAUAAAAAGGAUUUAAAAGUAAAUUUAUUAAUAGAAAUACUAUGAAUUUAGAUUCUAAAAUAUGU